ACUCCUACGGGAGGCAGCAGUGGGGAAUAUUGCACAAUGGGGGAAACCCUGAUGCAGCCAUGCCGCGUGUGUGAAGAAGGCCUUCGGGUUGUAAAGCACUUUCAGUAGGGAGGAAGGUAGUGUAGUUAACACCUGCACUAUUUGACGUUACCUACAGAAGAAGCACCGGCUAACUCCGUGCCAGCAGCCGCGGUAAUACGGAGGGUGCGAGCGUUAAUCGGAAUUACUGGGCGUAAAGCGCAUGCAGGCGGCCUGUUAAGUCAGAUGUGAAAGCCCGGGGCUUAACCUCGGAAUUGCAUUUGAAACUGGCAGGCUAGAGUCUGUAGAGGGGGGUAGAAUUUCAGGUGUAGCGGUGAAAUGCGUAGAGAUCUGAAGGAAUACCAGUGGCGAAGGCGGCCCCCUGGACAAAGACUGACGCUCAGAUGCGAAAGCGUGGGGAGCAAACAGGAUUAGAUACCCUGGUAGGAUAGCG
RNAcentral lists this ribosomal RNA (472 nucleotides) under uncultured bacterium. RNAcentral's name for it is "bacterial SSU rRNA". It matches the Rfam family "Bacterial small subunit ribosomal RNA", at positions 335 to 799 of the family's 1533-position model. The record is from RNAcentral.